GUCCUCUGGUUGAGUGUUGGAGGUCUGACCUGCCCGGUGAUGUUAUUUAACGGCCGCGGUAUUUUGACCGUGCAAAGGUAGCAUAAUAAUUAGUCUUUUAAUUGAGGGCUUGAAUGAAUGGUUGGACGAGGAAGUAGCUGUCUCAAAUUGAAUAAGUAUGAAUUUUACUUUUUGGUGAAAAGGCCUGAAUUUAUUAGGGGGACGAUAAGACCCUAUAGAUCUUUAUAUAUUAUUUUUGAAUAGGUUUUUGGUUUGUUGAAAUUAUUUGGUUUUGGUGUAUUUUGCUGGGGCGGCAGGGAGAUUAGUGUAACUCUUUUAAUUUAUUGUUCAUUUAUUUAUGUGGUUUGUUGAUCCAUUAGUUGUGAUUUCAGGAUUAAGAUACCUUAGGGAUAACAGCGUAAUCUUUUUUGAGAGUUCUUAUCGACGAAGGGGGUUGCGACCUCGAUGUUGGAUUAGGAUUUAAUUUGGGGUGUAGAAGCUCUAAUGUUUGAGUCUGUUCGACUAUUAAAAUCCUACA
Molecule: ribosomal RNA, 517 nt
Filed under: Heterolepisma sp. cooloola_GBS
Lineage: Eukaryota; Metazoa; Arthropoda; Insecta; Zygentoma; Lepismatidae
Description: partial 16S ribosomal RNA
Rfam family: Bacterial large subunit ribosomal RNA
Source: RNAcentral